Molecule: long non-coding RNA, 1414 nt
Organism: Erinaceus europaeus (western European hedgehog)
Lineage: Eukaryota; Metazoa; Chordata; Mammalia; Eulipotyphla; Erinaceidae
Exons: 3
Source: RefSeq, a predicted model, not a curated record
UGCGCCAUCCUGUGUGGUUCAGGUCUGCAGCGUGCUGUUGUGACCACUUCACUCGGGUGACUGGCUCUCCGCCGUAGCAUGAGCUCCCGUCUCUAUCACCCCACUUAAACGUCAUUUCUUUUUGUGGCGGGAGCAGUCAGGUUUCCACCUCCUGGUGACCUCCCAGUUUACAACUCCAACUCGGGCAGUCUUGCUGACUGUCACUCUGCUGCGCCUGCUACCCCCGAACUCAUUCUCUGCCAGUUCCCCCCAUGUACCGGGAAACGGUGUCUCCCUGAUCCCUCUGGGACUGUCACUUUAGCAAAGAGCUGCUCAUGUCAGCACUGGGACCCACUGAGCUGCCAGGCCCGGUGUGUGUCCUAGACCUCCAUGCCCCCGGUCCCUGCUCCGACUCCCCUUGUCACUGCAUUCAUUCCAAGCUCUAGUUUACAGUCUGGCUGUGCUAAGUUCCUGGUGCAGUGCUGUACCCAUCCCACCCCCCUGCCCAGUCCCUGCUUUCUCACUUAACAUAGUGCCUUUGAAGGCAGUCCGUGUUGUGGAAAAGGAGGGCUUCUUCCUUCCUCAAGGUCAGUUGCUGCCCUGUGGUGUGUGUGUGUGUGUGUGUGUGUGUGUAUGCCUUCUGCACCCCCUCUCCUUUUUUCCUUUCCCCCCUGCCCCCACAGAUGGGGCAUGUGCUUUCAAUCGGUCCUGACCUGUGGGAAGGGCACUGCAGCUCCUGGGCCUGCUCCAUCCUGUGUAACUUUCUCUGCAGACACGGGGUUGCUGGUACACACUGUGUUUCUGAACUUAGAAGCUGCAGCCUCGGAGUCUCUUUGUGCGCAGAGACUUGUUACAGUGAUGUGUCCCUAGGAGUCAGGCACUGGAGAUCCCCAAGUCGCACUUUGCUGAGGUCACUCCCACUGUCUGCCUGGUAGGUGGACAAGAAGCACCACUGUCUCUGCCCACUUGUCCUCCACCUCCCACAGGACAGGGACUGUGGCCCUAGCACCCAGCACACUGAAAGCACUGGCAGCAGGUUCUGGAACCCUGGAGGGAAGGAAAGAGUGGAAUCUGGAGGGAGUGGGACCAGAGCAAGGCCUGAGACUUGUCUGGGGCAGUGCAGAGACUAGGCGUCCAAGCACGGGCCUUCCCGAAGCUUCUCUGCAAACACGGCAAGACAGAAGGCUAUCUGCAGAAGGGACAUGGAUGACGUCAGAUAUUCCAGGUUGGAAGCGUGGGCCCGUGAGGAGGUUCUCUCACAGAGGAGCCAUCACCCACGAGGAGGCUGAGACAGAGGGGCUGCUCCAAGCAAGGGAGAAGCCAUGGCAGAGUAGGGGAGUCUGCUCCCUGACAGGAUCCUGGAGCAAAGCCUCAGCCCACAGAUCUCCGAGGAGAAAGCAAGGCUGCUGUCCUCAAGAUUGCUCCCUGCUGAGGG